AGCAGCCGCGGUAAUUCCAGCUCCAAUAGCGUAUAUUAAAGUUGUUGCAGUUAAAAAGCUCGUAGUUGGAUUUCGGGAUUAGUACGCUGGUCGUGCCUUCGGUACGUACUGGUGUUACUGAUUCCUACCUUCUGACGAACCAUCAUGUCAUUAAUUUGGUGUGGUGGGGAAUCAGGACUGUUACUUUAGAAAAAAUUAGAGUGUUUAAAGCAGGCUCGCGCUUGAAUACAUUAGCAUGGAAUAAUGAAAUAGGACGUUGAUCCUAUUUUGUUGGUUUCUAGGAUUGACGUAAUGAUUAAUAGGGAUAGUUGGGGGCAUUAGUAUUCAAUUGUCAGAGGUGAAAUUCUUGGAUUUAUUGAAGACUAACUACUGCGAAAGCAUUUGCCAAGGAUGUUUUCAUUAAUCAAGAACGAAAGUUAGGGGAUCGAAGACGAUCAGAUACCGUCGUAGUCUUAACCAUAAACUAUGCCGACUAGGGAUCGGAUGAUGUUAUUUUUAAUGACUCAUUCGGCGCCUUACG
This 520-nucleotide ribosomal RNA is filed under the name uncultured Glomus. Its description in RNAcentral is "SSU rRNA". It matches the Rfam family "Eukaryotic small subunit ribosomal RNA", at positions 569 to 1092 of the family's 1831-position model. The record is from RNAcentral. Lineage: Eukaryota; Fungi; Glomeromycota; Glomeromycetes; Glomerales; Glomeraceae.